UACGUAGGGACCAAGCGUUGUUCGGAUUUACUGGGCGUAAAGGGCGCGUAGGCGGCAUGUUAAGUCAGCUGUGAAAUCUCCGAGCUUAACUCGGAACGGUCAGCUGAUACUGAUGUGCUAGAGUACAGAAGGGGCAAUCGGAAUUCUUGGUGUAGCGGUGAAAUGCGUUGAUAUCAGGAGGAACACCGAUGGCGAAGGCAGCAAACUGGGCAUUAACUGACGCUGAGGCGCGAAAGCGUGGGUAGCAAACAGG
RNAcentral lists this ribosomal RNA (253 nucleotides) under uncultured prokaryote. RNAcentral describes it as "partial 16S ribosomal RNA". It matches the Rfam family "Bacterial small subunit ribosomal RNA", at positions 524 to 776 of the family's 1533-position model. The record is from RNAcentral.